AUUGAACGCUGGCGGCAGGCCUAACACAUGCAAGUCGAGCGGAUGAAGGGAGCUUGCUCCUGGAUUCAGCGGCGGACGGGUGAGUAAUGCCUAGGAAUCUGCCUGGUAGUGGGGGAUAACGUCCGGAAACGGGCGCUAAUACCGCAUACGUCCUGAGGGAGAAAGUGGGGGAUCUUCGAACCUCCCGCUAUCAGAUGAGCCUAGGUCGGAUUAGCUAGUUGGUGGGGUAAAGGCCUACCAAGGCGACGAUCCGUAACUGGUCUGAGAGGAUGAUCAGUCACACUGGAACUGAGACACGGUCCAGACUCCUACGGGAGGCAGCAGUGGGGAAUAUUGGACAAUGGGCGAAAGCCUGAUCCAGCCAUGCCGCGUGUGUGAAGAAGGUCUUCGGAUUGUAAAGCACUUUAAGUUGGGAGGAAGGGCAGUAAGUUAAUACCUUGCUGUUUUGACGUUACCAACAGAAUAAGCACCGGCUAACUUCGUG
This 484-nucleotide ribosomal RNA is filed under the name uncultured bacterium. RNAcentral's name for it is "partial 16S ribosomal RNA". It matches the Rfam family "Bacterial small subunit ribosomal RNA", at positions 30 to 507 of the family's 1533-position model. The record is from RNAcentral.